GCGCUAUAGGUAUUAUAUAGCAACACAACCUAGAUUAGGGAAGGCUAAGGGCUUAUAGGCCUAUGCUAAUCCUAAGUAUAGUCCUAGUAGAGUAAUCUUCUAGGACGCAUGUAGAGUACGGAAAGGUGUGGGCAGCUCUUCUAGGUACGCCUAGAAGGCUGCUUAAGGGACGUGCUAGACCUAUAGGAAACUAUACUAAAUACAAAGGACCUACAGUCUAGAUUAUCCAGGUAGCUUUAAGGCUGGGAGGAAAUGCCUAGAAGAGCUAGGUAUACUAUAUAGAAUAGGGACAAGACGUGUGCCUAGGCCUAUAGCAGUUAGGAUAGGGCAUAAUAGCAACCUAUAUAGGUUUUAAAUAGGGAACGUAAGCUAGGUUUAGACUAUUAUAAGAUAGGUUAGUUUUACCCUACUAAUAACCUCACUACAAUAAUAAUUUAGCUUAGUAUAAGAGGAACUGCUAAUUUAGAUAAUUAGUUUUUACAGCUAUUUAACUAGGCAGUGCUACAACACCACCAUCUACUAGAUAAUAGCUAAACGCCUCUAAGUUAGAAUCUAUGCUAGAACGUAGUAAUACUACCCGUAUGUAUAGAUAGAUAAGAAUAGGCUUUAGCUUUGUAUCUUAGUAGGCAAUUCCUUUACGGCUAUAGAAGAGUGGUCUUGGUAUUUUGCAUAUUAUAAUUUCAAUAUAAGUAGGGUUAAAUCCUUUAU
RNAcentral lists this ribosomal RNA (708 nucleotides) under Cordyceps militaris. RNAcentral's name for it is "eukaryotic LSU rRNA". It matches the Rfam family "Eukaryotic large subunit ribosomal RNA", at positions 2914 to 3308 of the family's 3401-position model. Lineage: Eukaryota; Fungi; Ascomycota; Sordariomycetes; Hypocreales; Cordycipitaceae. The record is from RNAcentral.